This 74-nucleotide transfer RNA is filed under the name Camelus bactrianus (Bactrian camel). It matches the Rfam family "tRNA". Rfam says of the family: Transfer RNA (tRNA) molecules are approximately 80 nucleotides in length. Their secondary structure includes four short double-helical elements and three loops (D, anti-codon, and T loops). The record is from Rfam by way of RNAcentral. Lineage: Eukaryota; Metazoa; Chordata; Mammalia; Artiodactyla; Camelidae. RNAcentral also lists the same sequence under 2 other names.
GAGGGUAUAGCUCAGUUGUAAAGUGUGCGUGCUUAGCAUGCAUGAGGUGCUGGUUUCAAUCCCCAGUACCUCCA